This is a small nucleolar RNA of Seriola dumerili (greater amberjack), 73 nucleotides long. The record is from Ensembl. Lineage: Eukaryota; Metazoa; Chordata; Actinopteri; Carangiformes; Carangidae.
CUCCAGUGACGACCUGAAAUAAGUGCCACGUGUCUGGGCCACUGAUCCAAGUGAUGGGAUUGAGGAACUGCAC